RNAcentral lists this ribosomal RNA (381 nucleotides) under Amazonocrinis nigriterrae CENA67. RNAcentral describes it as "Bacterial small subunit ribosomal RNA". It matches the Rfam family "Bacterial small subunit ribosomal RNA", at positions 1 to 411 of the family's 1533-position model. The record is from Rfam by way of RNAcentral. Lineage: Bacteria; Bacillati; Cyanobacteriota; Cyanophyceae; Nostocales; Nostocaceae.
AAAACGGAGAGUUUGAUCCUGGCUCAGGAUGAACGCUGGCGGUAUGCUUAACACAUGCAAGUCGAACGGUGUCUUCGGACACAGUGGCGGACGGGUGAGUAACGCGUGAGAAUCUAGCUUCAGGUCGGGGACAACCACUGGAAACGGUGGCUAAUACCGGAUGUGCCGGAAGGUGAAAGAUUUAUUGCCUGAAGAUGAGCUCGCGUCUGAUUAGCUAGUAGGUGUGGUAAGAGCGCACCUAGGCGACGAUCAGUAGCUGGUCUGAGAGGAUGAUCAGCCACACUGGGACUGAGACACGGCCCAGACUCCUACGGGAGGCAGCAGUGGGGAAUUUUCCGCAAUGGGCGAAAGCCUGACGGAGCAAUACCGCGUGAGGGAGGA